RNAcentral lists this ribosomal RNA (494 nucleotides) under uncultured soil bacterium. RNAcentral describes it as "bacterial SSU rRNA". It matches the Rfam family "Bacterial small subunit ribosomal RNA", at positions 26 to 517 of the family's 1533-position model. The record is from RNAcentral.
AGAUUGAACGCUGGCGGCAGGCCUAACACAUGCAAGUCGAGCGGUAGAGAGGUGCUUGCACCUCUUGAGAGCGGCGGACGGGUGAGUAAUGCCUAGGAAUCUGCCUAGUGGUGGGGGAUAACGUUCGGAAACGGACGCUAAUACCGCAUACGUCCUACGGGAGAAAGCGGGGGACCUUCGGGCCUCGCGCCAUUAGAUGAGCCUAGGUCGGAUUAGCUAGUUGGUGAGGUAAUGGCUCACCAAGGCGACGAUCCGUAACUGGUCUGAGAGGAUGAUCAGUCACACUGGAACUGAGACACGGUCCAGACUCCUACGGGAGGCAGCAGUGGGAAUAUUGGACAAUGGGCGAAAGCCUGAUCCAGCCAUGCCGCGUGUGUGAAGAAGGUCUUCGGAUUGUAAAGCACUUUAAGUUGGAGGAAGGUUGUAACUUAAUACGUUGCAACUUGACGUUACCGACAGAAUAAAGCAACCGGCUAACUUCGUGCCAGCAGCCG